GACGAACGCUGGCGGCGUGCCUAAUACAUGCAAGUAGAACGCUGAAGAGAGGAGCUUACUCUUCUUGGAUGAGUUGCGAACGGGUGAGUAACGCGUAGGUAACCUGCCUUGUAGCGGGGGAUAACUAUUGGAAACGAUAGCUAAUACCGCAUAACAAUGGAUGACACAUGUCAUUUAUUUGAAAGGGGCAAUUGCUCCACUACAAGAUGGACCUGCGUUGUAUUAGCUAGUAGGUGAGGUAAUGGCUCACCUAGGCUACGAUACAUAGCCGACCUGAGAGGGUGAUCGGCCACACUGGGACUGAGACACGGCCCAGACUCCUACGGGAGGCAGCAGUAGGGAAUCUUCGGCAAUGGGGGCAACCCUGACCGAGCAACGCCGCGUGAGUGAAGAAGGGUUUCGGAUCGUAAAGCUCUGUUGUAAGUCAAGAACGGGUGUGAGAGUGGAAAGUUCACACUGUGACGGUAGCUUACCAGAAAGGGACGGCUAACUACGUG
This 497-nucleotide ribosomal RNA is filed under the name uncultured bacterium. RNAcentral describes it as "partial 16S ribosomal RNA". It matches the Rfam family "Bacterial small subunit ribosomal RNA", at positions 28 to 507 of the family's 1533-position model. The record is from RNAcentral.